UGGGGAAUUUUGGACAAUGGGCGAAAGCCUGAUCCAGCAAUGCCGCGUGUGUGAAGAAGGCCUUCGGGUUGUAAAGCACUUUUGUCCGGAAAGAAAUCCUUGGCUCUAAUACAGUCGGGGGAUGACGGUACCGGAAGAAUAAGCACCGGCUAACUACGUGCCAGCAGCCGCGGUAAUACGUAGGGUGCAAGCGUUAAUCGGAAUUACUGGGCGUAAAGCGUGCGCAGGCGGUUUGCUAAGACCGAUGUGAAAUCCCCGGGCUCAACCUGGGAACUGCAUUGGUGACUGGCAGGCUAGAGUAUGGCAGAGGGGGGUAGAAUUCCACGUGUAGCAGUGAAAUGCGUAGAGAUGUGGAGGAAUACCGAUGGCGAAGGCAGCCCCCUGGGCCAAUACUGACGCUCAUGCACGAAAGCGUGGGGAGCAAACAGGAUUAGAUACCCUGGUAGUCCACGCCCUAAAACGAUGUCAACUAGUUGUUGGGGAUUCAUUUCCUUAGUGACGUAGCUAACGCGUGAAGUUGACCGCCUGGGGAGUACGGUCGCAAGAUUAAAAACUCAAAUGAAUUGAC
Molecule: ribosomal RNA, 568 nt
Filed under: uncultured bacterium
Lineage: Bacteria
Description: partial 16S ribosomal RNA
Rfam family: Bacterial small subunit ribosomal RNA
Source: RNAcentral